GCCUGGCACCGGUUCCCGUCCUCGCGCCUGGCAGCCCCACUGGGCUCCCCUGGCCAGGCCUCCCGGGCCUUCCCCGCCGAGAAGCCGGCAGAGGCGGCGCGAGAGACGUGGCCACGCUGCCCCCCAGUGGCCGACCUGUCUCACAGCAGCCAAAGGACAGUCACAUCUGGACGGAGCAGCUUUGCUGGGCAGUGGGGAGAGGACAGCACAGUGUCGUCGCCUGCCCGUCGGGGCACCCCACAGUGCAUGAGGAUCCAGCCACUUGUCCAGUGGCACAUGUGGCGGGCUGCAGAGGGCUGAGCCCGCCCUGUGCUGCCCUCCUCUCCCAUGUACCUCAGAAGGCAGUAGGUGGAACGCACCAUCCCUGCCCCAGCCCCAGCCCCAGCCCCACUGCACCUGCCGACUCACCCGAUGCCACCCUGCUGUCCCUGGGGCAGCUGUUGGGGUGGGCCAGGCUGGCACAUGGCAGCCAGGAGUUCUAGUGUGC
This 487-nucleotide long non-coding RNA is filed under the name Heterocephalus glaber (naked mole-rat). RNAcentral's name for it is "lncRNA (ENSHGLG00000036104.1)". The record is from RNAcentral. Lineage: Eukaryota; Metazoa; Chordata; Mammalia; Rodentia; Bathyergidae.